GAUUGCACCAUUGCACUCCAGCCUGGGUGACAGAGCAAGACCCUAUCUCCCCAAAAUACAAAUCUAAAAAAAGAUUAGCUAUAAUAUGUUCAGUGACUAGCAUCUAAUAGGUGCUUAUGAUUCAGCAUCAAAUAAAUGGGACAGCAAAAGGCAAGUGUGUGUGUGUGUGUGUGUGUGUACAUGCAUACAUGUCUGACACCGUCUGCUAAGACAGUUUUGGAGACUACUGGGAGCAUGUACCAGUACAUGGUGGAGUAACUAGAGUGAUUAUCCACUGAAUGAUGAAAGACCAAGAACAGAAAAGUGAAAAUGACUUGCCCCAGUUUGCACAGGAGGUCAUUGCAUAGAUGGGUCUAGAACCAAGGUUUUCCAGAAAGCAUUUUCCUUCACUUCCCAAAACUUUUGCUGUCAGGAUGAUAUUUCUACAGACAGCAAGGGAUGUCCAUUUAUACCCUUGGUUUAGCCAGAGAAUAGUGGAGAUGAUCAAGCCCACAGGCUCACACAAAUCCAACUCUUCAGACUGUCAUUAGCUUCAUGCUCCAUGACCAUGGGUUGACACAAUCACCAACAGAGAAAGGGAGGCUAGAUAGCCCUUCUUAACUCUCCACUGAUCAGCGGGCAUCCCUCUGCAUGGAUGGUUUCUCUGAGUGUGGCUUUUGCCAUAAAAAUGAGAUAAGAGGAACAGAGGAAAUGCUGUUUACUGCCAACUCUCUGCUCCUGUGUACAGAUCUUCAGCUGAGUCAAUGUUUAACCCCUGUCUGGAGUCAAUGUUUAAUCCCAGGCCAGCCAGCCCUGCAAUCCAGCAUUCCUCAUCAAGCCUAAAAUAUCGAGUUAUUUUAGAAUCAACCACUGAAGAAUAAAAUUGUGACUGAAUCUGCCAAAGCUAAACAGACUCUCCCCACUUUUAAAGGAUACUGGCUGUUUGGAAUUAUUCAUGCCAUCUGUUCCCAUUAGCAGAUAGUGAUAUGGAGUUUGCUGACCCUAGCUGUCAUUCAGUGGCAUGAGCACAGGGUUUAUUCUUCCUGUUUCAGUUCUUCCUUUUGGGCUGGGGGAGAAGAGCACUGGGUGGGGACCACUGCCCUUGUUACCCAGUUGGCAAUGCUGCUGGCUGGUAACAUGCUUCCUUGUGAGGCUGCUACUUGGAAUCCCACUAGGGGAGCUGGAACUUGAAUGUUCUGGUUGGCUGCAUUUAGGCAUGUUUUCUUGGAGUUUCUGAGCCCAGAUUUAUGUCUAAAGGCCUAAACCUUUCCCCAGGUGAGUCUCCCUGUUAAGGAGCAGGUGGGAGAGGGAAGAGUUCAUUAGAAAGACCCUGACUAUUGGUGAUUCUCUAGGGGCUUCCUAGGGUCCUUCCUAAGGAGCUCAGGGCACAUGGCAUCUACAAAUGGGCAGCAUUAUGUCAAUGCUAAGAACAACCUUAGUCAGGGAAGUCAAAGGAUGGCAAGCUGGGUGGUGGGGUGCAGGGACGUGAAGAGGGAAGGAAGGCUGCUGUCAGAUUAGCAGCUCUAGUCUUCAGUUGGUGUUGGAGAGGUGACUCACUGGCCAAAUGUAUGCAUGCAAUGCUCAAAUCUUUUCACUUUCCUCUGUGAACAUACUGAAGCCCCUCCUUCUCCUUGACCACCUGCUUCCCUGUGUCACUGCCCUGAUGUCCCAUCCUUCACCUGUUUUCCUAGCUCAGGUGCCUCCCAGUCAGAGAGUGAAAACAACAUUUCUUCUGGGGCUCCCAGCGUGGGGAGGUUGUUGGUGCCCUUUCUCGUUUUGGCUGGUGAAGGAGUGAAGGUGGAAACUGUGGGCUAGCAUGGAUAUAGGAGAAAGACCAAGUCCCUCAUGUUGAGAGUGAGAUGAAGUGACCCACUAAAGCUCACCUGGUCCAGGCCCCUGCCUGUUUCACGUGAUUUUGAACUCUGGAUACGUGGCAAGUGGUGAUAAGGACAACAAUCCAACUAGGUAAUGAGUAAGAGAGAAUGACAGCCUGGAAUUAGAGUGUAAUCUGUUUUUACCACAUGUGUAUGCUAACAGUCAGUGAUGAUUAUGACAGUGGUCAUGAUUCCAGCAAUUCACAGGUCCCCAUACCUAAAGAGAUUUACAGACCUCAUCCAAUGCACUUCUUGCUUCCUGAUAACUAAUGCCUGAUUCAUUCCAGAGAUGAACGAAUUUAAAAGAAUGUGCUAUUUAAAAGAAAAAAAGGAAUUUUAAAAUCUUUUCUAGCUUUUAUUUCUUUCUGAGGAGUUUCCUCCUGUUAAAUGCUUAUUUUUUUACCUUCAUUUUAAAAAUAAAUAACUGUAGAACAGCAUAUAAUUCUCUGAGCCACACAGCAAAAGAAAGUAAGAGGAAGCAAAAAGAAGUAAGCUCUAUGGUCGUGGGCAGUAAGAGACUCAUGAUAAAGAAGUUGGGUUUGAGGAUAUGAAAGCUGGAAACAGUUGGUUCAGGCUGCACCAGAACACACACAUUACAUCCAUGCCAAUUGCUGUCUUUUCAAACUCCAGGAAGCCUGGCGUGGGUGAAGCUGAGUCACCUGGAGGCUGUGCCGAAGCCUGGUUGUGCUAUAAGUUUUAUGUGCAGCAGACUCUAUCUUUCUCUCAGAAGUGGGUUGGGACAGCCCUUGGUAUCCAACCCUCCCUACAUUCACCUCCUUUGAGAAGAAAAAAAUAAGACCCAGAAGGUGAAGACUGAAGUUCAGAAAGUUAAAGUGAUAUCGCCAGGGUUCCUGAUUGGUAAGUGAUGGAGGCUGAAUUUGAGCCACAUCUAUAUGCUCCAUCAUCACUCUCCUGGGGAAAAUGGCCUAGAUGUAUUCUAUCUGCAUUCCUGCUUAGAUUCUGCACGACUUCUCCUGUCCAUUCCCUCGGCCCCCUCUCAUCUAGUCCAUGAGAUUACAGUUUUGCACACUGACAAGAGGGUCCUUCUUAGCCUACACAUACAACCAGGCAUCAAAGGAUGGAAGGGUUCAUCUCACACACUCACAGACCAUGUAGACUCUUCAAUCUACACCUCCAGCUAGAACUCAGAACAUUGAUGGGGACCUGCUCUCCAACCUUUCACCUCCCCUUUCUCCAUGAAAUAAACGUCAACAUUCACUCACCAGCCCACCCCCAGCCUACAAGGUGGCCCCUGCCAGAUCACGCUUCCCACUGUGGAAGAAGGCACAUAUGAGUGAGUGGGCUCAUCCUUUGACCUCUGUGUGAGAUGGCCUAUCCCACGGAGUCAGAGUGCAGAGUUCCCAGGGUAGCACAGGUGUGGUAAUUCAGAAGAGCAGCUGUCAAUGCAUCUGAGGGCACAGACCCCCCUCCCAUGCCAGGCUGGGAGAGGCCACUCCUGUAUGUGGCAGGCGGCUUGUGCCCAGUGGCAUCAAGGCUAUGGCAGGGUAUAGCAGAGAUCUAAGGCCAAGUGGAAGUGGAGCUGUUGCUUUGGUUUUGAAAACCAAAUGAAUGGCUUUUACAAACCUCCACCCACAAUUCUGUGAAAAGAGAUAAGAAUAACUCUGACCCUACUCUUACCUCCCUCUUCAUCAAUUCAUACUGAAUGAAGAGCAACCCUAUGUGAAUACAAGAGGAUAGAUACAAUGACCUCAGCUGGGUCUAGCACCACUUUCAGGGAGGCGGAUGUCCUCACUGGGCCCUCUUGCAUCUCUUCAAAAUGAGAAUGACCAAGUUUGGAUUUAUCAUUCUGUUCUUGAAUCCCAAAGACUAUCCUUAGAGCAAAAUAUACUCUUUGAAGGAUGAGGAUGUGGAGAAGCACGGUAUCUUUAAAUAACAAGGGAAGGGAAACUCAAAUUA
This is a long non-coding RNA of Cercocebus atys (sooty mangabey), 3770 nucleotides long. RefSeq lists it as uncharacterized. The transcript has 3 exons. NCBI's taxonomy places the organism in Eukaryota, Metazoa, Chordata, Mammalia, Primates, Cercopithecidae. The record is from RefSeq and is a predicted model, not a curated record.